GUAAGUAUAGUUUAACCAAGACAUCAGAUUGUGAUUCUGAAAAUAGGGGUUAAACCCCCCUUACUCACC
Molecule: transfer RNA, 69 nt
Filed under: Notropis imeldae
Lineage: Eukaryota; Metazoa; Chordata; Actinopteri; Cypriniformes; Leuciscidae
Description: tRNA-His
Rfam family: tRNA
About the family: Transfer RNA (tRNA) molecules are approximately 80 nucleotides in length. Their secondary structure includes four short double-helical elements and three loops (D, anti-codon, and T loops).
Source: RNAcentral